Molecule: ribosomal RNA, 660 nt
Filed under: uncultured bacterium
Lineage: Bacteria
Description: bacterial SSU rRNA
Rfam family: Bacterial small subunit ribosomal RNA
Source: RNAcentral
AGUGGCGGACGGGUGAGUAACGCGUGAGAAUCUGCUUUGGGGUCGGGGACAACCACUGGAAACGGUGGCUAAUACCGGAUAAGCCGAUUGGUGAAAGAUUUAUUGCCCGAAGAGGAGCUCGCGUCUGAUUAGCUAGUUGGUGAGGUAAGAGCUCACCAAGGCAGCGAUCAGUAGCUGGUCUGAGAGGACGAUCAGCCACACUGGGACUGAGACACGGCCCAGACUCCUACGGGAGGCAGCAGUGGGGAAUUUUCCGCAAUGGGCGAAAGCCUGACGGAGCAAGACCGCGUGAGGGAGGAAGGCUCUUGGGUUGUAAACCUCUUUUCUCAGGGAAGAAGCUCUGACGGUACCUGAGGAAUCAGCCUCGGCUAACUCCGUGCCAGCAGCCGCGGUAAUACGGAGGAGGCAAGCGUUAUCCGGAAUUAUUGGGCGUAAAGCGUCCGCAGGUGGCAAUUCAAGUCUGCUGUCAAAGCACGGGGCUUAACUCCGUUAAGGCAGUGGAAACUGAAUAGCUAGAGUGCCGUAGGGGUAGAGGGAAUUCCCGGUGUAGCGGUGAAAUGCGUAGAGAUCGGGAAGAACAUCGGUGGCGAAAGCGCUCUACUGGACGGCAACUGACACUCAGGGACGAAAGCUAGGGGAGCGAAUGGGAUUAGAUACCCC